RNAcentral lists this ribosomal RNA (253 nucleotides) under uncultured prokaryote. RNAcentral describes it as "partial 16S ribosomal RNA". It matches the Rfam family "Bacterial small subunit ribosomal RNA", at positions 524 to 776 of the family's 1533-position model. The record is from RNAcentral.
UACAGAGGUCCCAAGCGUUGUUCGGAUUCACUGGGCGUAAAGGGUGCGUAGGUGGUUGGGUAAGUCUGAUGUGAAAUCUCCGGGCUCAACCCGGAAAUGGCAUUGGAUACUAUCUGGCUAGAGGUUUGGAGGGGGGACUGGAAUUCCCGGUGUAGCGGUGAAAUGCGUAGAGAUCGGGAGGAAGGCCGGUGGCGAAGGCGGCGCUCUGGAACGUUUCUGACGCUGAGGCUCGAAAGCGUGGGGAGCAAACAGG